GACGAACGCUGGCGGCGUGCUUAACACAUGCAAGUCGAACGGAAAGGCCCUGCUUUUGUGGGGUGCUCGAGUGGCGAACGGGUGAGUAACACGUGAGUAACCUGCCCUUGACUUUGGGAUAACUUCAGGCAACUGGGGCUAAUACCGGAUAGGAGCUCCUGCUGCAUGGUGGGGGUUGGAAAGUUUCGGCGGUUGGGGAUGGACUCGCGGCUUAUCAGCUUGUUGGUGGGGUAGUGGCUUACCAAGGCUUUGACGGGUAGCCGGCCUGAGAAGGUGACCGGCCACAUUGGGACUGAGAUACGGCCCAGACUCCUACGGGAGGCAGCAGUGGGGAAUAUUGCACAAUGGGCGGAAGCCUGAUGCAGCAACGCCGCGUGCGGGAUGACGGCCUUCGGGUUGUAAACCGCUUUCGCCUGUGACGAAGCGUGAGUGACGGUAAUGGGUAAAGAAGCACCGACUAACUACGUG
RNAcentral lists this ribosomal RNA (468 nucleotides) under uncultured bacterium. Its description in RNAcentral is "partial 16S ribosomal RNA". It matches the Rfam family "Bacterial small subunit ribosomal RNA", at positions 28 to 507 of the family's 1533-position model. The record is from RNAcentral.